GAGGGGCACAGCCACCAGCCUGACCCCCCCACAGCCUCUGUUCCCAGCUGGAAACUGGAAUUCCUCCUGCUGCAGUCCCUGCAGCCGCGCUCGGGGGGCUCUGAGCUCCUGGGGCGCUUCUGAAGAAUUGGGAAUUAUCCACGGGAUAAACCACGGUGCUUCCCCAGGGGACAGGAGGUGAUGAGCUGCAGCAGGAUUGGGGCACAAAGUUCCUUCAGGAAGGCCAGAAUUCCUGCUAAGCGAUGAGUGGCUGGAGCUUGGUUUUUGGGAGGAGCUCUUGGGUGUGUGGAAAAGGGGAAAAAAUGCCUGGAAUUUGUGGUUUGAUUCCUCUGGAGAGCCCUGCAGGUGUAUGGAAAAGGGAAAAAUGUCUGGGAUUUGUGGUCUGGAGAGCCCUGCAGGUGUGUGGAAAAGGGAAAAAUGCCUGAACUUGUGGUCUGGAGAGUCCUGCAUGUGUGUGGAAAAGGGAAAAAUGCCUGGGAUUUGUGGUUUGAUUCCUCUGGAGAGCUCUGCCCGUGCACACCCUGAGUGGGAAGCGUGGUGGGAGUGGGAGGUGGGUGGGGAUGUGUGGGACAUGGGGGAGGGAGUGUGUCCAGUGGGGAAAGAAAGUCAGCUCAACUCAAGUGCUCUCAAACAAGUUUAACAAAAAAAAACCCCAAAAAAACCAGGAUUAUAUAACUGGGCUGGUACCUCCUAAGGGCCAAGAAUGUGGAAAAAUCUAAUUAUCAUUUUCCAUCCUCUUUAGACUGUCUGGUGAUACCAUUUGAACUCUUAAAUG
Molecule: non-coding RNA, 775 nt
Organism: Taeniopygia guttata (zebra finch)
Lineage: Eukaryota; Metazoa; Chordata; Aves; Passeriformes; Estrildidae
Source: RefSeq, a predicted model, not a curated record